RNAcentral lists this ribosomal RNA (484 nucleotides) under uncultured bacterium. RNAcentral's name for it is "partial 16S ribosomal RNA". It matches the Rfam family "Bacterial small subunit ribosomal RNA", at positions 28 to 507 of the family's 1533-position model. The record is from RNAcentral.
AUUGAACGCUGGCGGCAUGCUUUACACAUGCAAGUCGAACGGCAGCGCGGGCUUCGGCCUGGCGGCGAGUGGCGAACGGGUGAGUAAUGCAUCGGAACGUGCCCAGUAGUGGGGGAUAGCCCGGCGAAAGCCGGAUUAAUACCGCAUACGACCUGAGGGUGAAAGCGGGGGGCCGAAAGGCCUCGCGCUAUUGGAGCGGCCGAUGUCGGAUUAGCUAGUUGGUGGGGUAAAGGCUUACCAAGGCGACGAUCCGUAGCUGGUCUGAGAGGACGACCAGCCACACUGGGACUGAGACACGGCCCAGACUCCUACGGGAGGCAGCAGUGGGGAAUUUUGGACAAUGGGGGCAACCCUGAUCCAGCCAUGCCGCGUGCGGGAAGAAGGCCUUCGGGUUGUAAACCGAUUUUGUUCGGGAAGAAAUCCUCUGGGCUAAUACCCCGGGGGGAUGACGGUACCGGAAGAAUAAGCACCGGCUAACUACGUG